Molecule: ribosomal RNA, 253 nt
Filed under: uncultured bacterium
Lineage: Bacteria
Description: partial 16S ribosomal RNA
Rfam family: Bacterial small subunit ribosomal RNA
Source: RNAcentral
UACGUAGGGGGCUAGCGUUGUCCGGAAUCAUUGGGCGUAAAGAGCGUGUAGGCGGCCCGGUAAGUCCGCUGUGAAAGUCGGGGGCUCAACCCUCGAAUGCCGGUGGAUACUGUCGGGCUAGAGUGCGGAAGAGGCGAGUGGAAUUCCUGGUGUAGCGGUGAAAUGCGCAGAUAUCAGGAGGAACACCAAUAGCGAAGGCAGCUCGCUGGGACGUUACUGACACUGAGGCGCGAAAGCGUGGGGAGCGAACAGG